CACAACAGAUGUUCAAGAGGAUGUUGGGAAACAGCCAGUGCAUUAACACAGCAUCCAGCUUCUUCUUUUGCCUUGCCACGUGAAAAUAAAUGUGGCAACAAGUGCAGUUAUUUCUGCUAUUUAACACCAAUCUCCUAGAGCAAUUUCUGAAAGUGGCUGCUCCCAGACAUUCAAAAGAAGGAAUGAAGAAUUAGAAUAUGAUAGCUAUGUUAACAUCAAAGUGCACAAAUCCUUGGAAAAGUUUCAUUUAGCCCAAGUCCCUCUUGAGCAGUUGGCACCAGCUGUGUGGGAUGCAAACUGAAAAUCUCUACUGGGAGGGUUUGAAAAUCUUACAGCUUUAAACCCACAGUUGAGACAUGAGCACAUCACUGUUUCCAGUCCUGCAAGGGGUGUGGUUGGAAUGAAAAUGCUGCUCCAGGGUCCUGACUGACAAACUUCUGUUUGCUUUAAAAUGGGUCCAGCAGGGCUGUCAGGAGCAGCUGUGCUGUGCCAGGCUGUCCCUUCUUGAGCUGCCAGUAGCAGCAGCGAGG
Molecule: long non-coding RNA, 530 nt
Organism: Catharus ustulatus (Swainson's thrush)
Lineage: Eukaryota; Metazoa; Chordata; Aves; Passeriformes; Turdidae
Exons: 4
Source: RefSeq, a predicted model, not a curated record